Molecule: long non-coding RNA, 191 nt
Organism: Penaeus monodon (black tiger shrimp)
Lineage: Eukaryota; Metazoa; Arthropoda; Malacostraca; Decapoda; Penaeidae
Exons: 2
Source: RefSeq, a predicted model, not a curated record
GGUUUAUAUCAACUGCGUUACCAUUAUUUGGGAUAUAUUCCUUUCAUAUAUGAAGCACAAGGACCAAGUUAAAAAGCAAGAAAAGGAAAUUUGACAACAAAGCUGAAUAGUAUUUUGUCAUUUCUAACAUGUUUGUGUGUUCUGUAACAAAUUUAUGAACAUAUAAUUAACAAAACAUAUUUACAUUUCCA